RNA transcript from Homo sapiens (human), 1313 nucleotides. It is a transcript of the gene named NBPF member 6 pseudogene, with no coding region annotated. The transcript is spliced from 6 exons. The record is from RefSeq and is marked validated. NCBI's taxonomy places the organism in Eukaryota, Metazoa, Chordata, Mammalia, Primates, Hominidae.
AUUCCUAUCAGAGCCUGAACCACAGACAGUACCUUAGAGUCUAAGCUUAGAUACCUUUGUCUUGUUUUUGUGGCUAAGGAUUCUCAGAGUUGCGGGAUGCUGAUGAAAUUUAUCCCAAAAAGUGUGAAGAGUGCAAAGACCUUAUAGAAUCUGUGCUGGAGGAGGAGGUGCAGUUUCAGGAGAGGGAGCUGGCCGAAUUGCCGAGGUCAGCUGCAAGGCUCCGGAUACAUGAUCCCUUAAUUCAGGCUCAGGCUGAAGAACUGACCCACUUACAACAGAAGAUACAGGAAGGGAGAGGUGUCUGCUACCUUUUCACCCAGCAUGUGAAGAACACAGUCAAGUCUUUUGAGGGCCUUCUCAGGAACACUGACAUUGCCUACUACCAGAGACAGAGAUUCUGUGAGCAAAUGGUACAAGGAAGCCAGCUGACAGAGAUCCUUGUCAGAAAACUUGCCACAGAAUCAACCCCAAUGCUCACUAACAAACUGAGAAGAAAAAAAAGAAUUACCCCCAACAACAUCUGAGGAAGCACAACAGGGACAGACUUGAAGGCACCUGGGCAGUCCUCUGGUUUUGGAGUAGAGGCAGCUGACGUCUGGUGAUGAUUCACCAUAUCAGGAACACCCUGUCCAGUGGGCUAAGGCAAGCCUGCCAGGCCACUUCUCUAAAGACACAACCUGAGGCCUCCUGCAAUAAUUCUCACAGAGCAUUCUGAACAUACAUAAAAUCACAAUGGUAAGAAAAAUGAAGACAGGCAAAAGCCACUGGCUCCCAGGUAACUCUACAUGAUGAAGGGGCUGAUAAUGGACUGACCAAAUCUAGAGAGAAUUCCAGAAGCAAGGACUCAAGAGGUUAAAGGUCCCAGAUCUAGAAAAAGCAGAAACUGCUGAUUGUUCCUUUUUUUGUUGACUGAUUAUACAAUGUGUCCUUUUAAAAAUGGUUCUCUGUUCUCUUUGCAGUUUUUGUAUUGGUUCCUAGUUCCUAGUAAUUUCUCACACUUAGUUAACCAGUCAGUCUUACCGAAAAGUAAACUAACCAGGGAUCCCUGGUUUCUGUAUCUUUAAAACCUAUAGGGUUACAAACCAAAGUGAGAUGCCUAUCUGGUUUCUGCACAGUUGUCCUGAAUUAUGUUGGCAGAUAUUUUAUAGCCAGAAAUUUACCUUGAAAAAUAAAUUGAAACCAUACCAAGUAUUUAGAGCUAGGGGUCUAAAAUCUGCAAAAGCCGUGGGAGGUUGUGUUGUCUCAAGAGCCAGUAUUCAGUGGACCACUCCACAUCAUAUUAAAUAAAAUUUAAACACAGCAUUUUGAAGCCG